Molecule: long non-coding RNA, 247 nt
Organism: Anopheles merus
Lineage: Eukaryota; Metazoa; Arthropoda; Insecta; Diptera; Culicidae
Exons: 3
Source: RefSeq, a predicted model, not a curated record
AUUUGCCAAGAGAUUUAUUAUACACCCAAACGCACGUGAAAAUAGCGAAGAUGUGGUUUAGAACUCAACGUCUGAAAGUCUCAUUCAGGUAUAAGCGGAACAUACUUUGCAAUGGAGGCGCAUUGUACUUGAUGAUGUCGUGGAGACGCCUGGUUAUACUUUAGCACAGAGAAGAACAAUCUACAGUGAAAUCUCUCUAAGGCGAUUCUUCAAGGGACCGUCAGCUUAGAGGAAUAUUCAUGUUGAG